Long non-coding RNA from Schistocerca serialis cubense, 308 nucleotides. RefSeq lists it as uncharacterized. The record is from RefSeq and is a predicted model, not a curated record. Lineage: Eukaryota; Metazoa; Arthropoda; Insecta; Orthoptera; Acrididae. The transcript is spliced from 2 exons.
UGUAUGUGUGUCUACUGCUGACAAAGACCUUAAUGGCCAAAAGCUUUAAUUGUGUGAAUAUUUUUAUAGUGCCUAUCAUGACUCAGCAUCUCAGCUACAUGCAGGAGGUCUCUGGGAUGACGGCCAUUUACUAUCGCCAUAUGAUGGUUGAAGUGUCGACACAUUAUCUGCGUAUCCAGUAAUGCUGGCAACAGAUAUGGUACGCAUGGGAAUCACAUCAACCUGUAUCACAUCAAAAACAGCCUGAAGAUGACGCAAUGAAGUGUUGAAACUGGUAGCGACAAAAUAAAAUAAAAUCAUAAGGACAA